MicroRNA precursor from Acromyrmex echinatior (Panamanian leafcutter ant), 89 nucleotides. Lineage: Eukaryota; Metazoa; Arthropoda; Insecta; Hymenoptera; Formicidae. The record is from Rfam.
ACUAGAUGUGUGUUGAUGGUCAUAUAUCUAGUGACAAAGUAUCCGCAGUACUUUGUCACUAGAUAUAUGACCAUCAAUACACAUCUAGU